UGCGUCCUGGUCGGAUGCG
RNAcentral lists this small nuclear RNA (19 nucleotides) under Arabidopsis thaliana (thale cress). Its description in RNAcentral is "snRNA_06021". The record is from RNAcentral. Lineage: Eukaryota; Viridiplantae; Streptophyta; Magnoliopsida; Brassicales; Brassicaceae.